UACGUAGGGGGCAAGCGUUGUCCGGAUUUAUUGGGCGUAAAGAGCGUGUAGGCGGCCAAGCAGGUCCGCUGUGAAAACUCGAGGCUCAACCUCGAGACGUCGGUGGAAACCGUUUGGCUAGAGUCCGGAAGAGGAGAGUGGAAUUCCCGGUGUAGCGGUGAAAUGCGCAGAUAUCAGGAAGAACACCAAUGGCGAAGGCAGCUCUCUGGGACGGUACUGACGCUGAGACGCGAAAGCGUGGGGAGCGAACAGG
RNAcentral lists this ribosomal RNA (253 nucleotides) under uncultured bacterium. RNAcentral describes it as "partial 16S ribosomal RNA". It matches the Rfam family "Bacterial small subunit ribosomal RNA", at positions 524 to 776 of the family's 1533-position model. The record is from RNAcentral.